GACAGAGGCCCCAAGCGUUAGGCGGAAUCACUGGGCUUAAAGCGUGUGUAGGCGGAUCGUUAAGUGUCUUGUGAAAUCCCACGGCUCACCCGUGGAACUGCUGGGCAUACUGGCGAUCUUGGGCCAACUAGGGGCAGCCGGAACAAGCGGUGGAGCGGUGAAAUGCGUAGAUAUCGCUUGGAACGCCGAAGGUGAAAACAGGUUGCUGGGGUUGUGCCGACGCUGAGACACGAAAGCCAGGGGAGCAAACGGG
RNAcentral lists this ribosomal RNA (253 nucleotides) under uncultured bacterium. Its description in RNAcentral is "partial 16S ribosomal RNA". It matches the Rfam family "Bacterial small subunit ribosomal RNA", at positions 524 to 776 of the family's 1533-position model. The record is from RNAcentral.